Molecule: ribosomal RNA, 373 nt
Filed under: uncultured eukaryote
Lineage: Eukaryota
Description: partial 18S ribosomal RNA
Rfam family: Eukaryotic small subunit ribosomal RNA
Source: RNAcentral
CAGUAGCGUAUAUUAAAGUUGUUGCAGUUAAAAAGCUCGUAGUUGAAUUUUUGCUUGCCGCCGAUGUCGGAACUUCCGUACGUUCGGCGGCGUGCAUCCUUGGGUGGAACCUGUGUGGCAUUAGGUUGUCGUGCAGGGGAUGCUCAUCGUUUACUGUGAAAAAAUUAGAGUGUUCAAAGCAGGCUUACGCCGUUGAAUAUAUUAGCAUGGAAUAAUAAGAUAGGACCUUGGUACUAUUUUGUUGGUUUGCGCACCGAGGUAAUGAUUAACAGGGACAGUUGGGGGUAUUCGUAUUCCAUUGUCAGAGGUGAAAUUCUUGGAUUUCUGGAAGACGAACUACUGCGAAAGCAUUUACCAAGGAUGUUUUCAUUAA